Harmonia axyridis is the source of this 279-nucleotide long non-coding RNA. RefSeq lists it as uncharacterized. Lineage: Eukaryota; Metazoa; Arthropoda; Insecta; Coleoptera; Coccinellidae. The record is from RefSeq and is a predicted model, not a curated record. The transcript is spliced from 2 exons.
GCAAGUAGUUUCUAGAGCAGUGGAGUCUCCUAGAAAAAAAAAACCAUUACAUAUUAUCGUAAAAAUGAUAUGUAUUUUUACUUCAAAUAGAAGAAAAUUAAUAGAGAAAGUAAUAGGGUUGAAAUGGAGAAUCCAUAGCCAACAUAUUUUGCUAUAUAGAUGGAAUGGACCGCAUUCACUGUAAUUUGCUGCCACGUAGUUUUGAAAUUUGAACCAUUCUCCUGUUUUUUCACAUAGUAAAGUUGCUAGUCCCUGAAAUAACAAAAAAGUUAAAAUAAA